Long non-coding RNA from Biomphalaria glabrata, 627 nucleotides. RefSeq lists it as uncharacterized. The transcript is spliced from 3 exons. The record is from RefSeq and is a predicted model, not a curated record. Lineage: Eukaryota; Metazoa; Mollusca; Gastropoda; Planorbidae.
AUUCCCGAAGAUUUUUACCACCACUUUUACAGAAAAUCAUGAAUGGAAACUGAAUUGUUAAAGAAGAUGUUACAGAGGAGCAUACUACUUCCACAAACCUGAUUUGAUUGUCACUAACUUUCAAAUUGAAAGGGAUCUACUACAACUGCUCAUGAAUUUUGAGAUUUUACAGCUAAUAGAGGAACAAAUUUUAUCUGCUUCCACUUAGCCAAACAGCAUGGAAAUAUGCUAUUGUAAUGAGUAGAAGAUAUUUGUCAUUUAGAGUAUUAUGCAACAGCUAAUUAUCAGUCCACACAUUUCAAGAUGAGGAAAAGAACAUUAUACGCUACAUUCAUUGAUGCAUUAUUUAUACAAAAAUGUAUAGUCAACCCAGUCAUCACUCCAUUUUUUUAUGAAGCCAGUUACAGUUACCAUGAAGGGAUGAAAUUUCAGAUAAUAUUCUGUUUAUUUUAUGAAAUGAGAAUAGGCCUACAUCAGAAAUUGAAAUGGUCAUCUUCAGUAUUUAAUGUUUCAUCUAAAAAUGAUAAUUAUAUUAAUACAUAUUUGAUGUACAAACAAAUGAAAACCAUUCAAACACUUUUUUUUUGUGAAGUAUAGAUGAUUAAACUUGUAAGUGUCUGAACAAUA